This 274-nucleotide ribosomal RNA is filed under the name uncultured bacterium. Its description in RNAcentral is "partial 16S ribosomal RNA". It matches the Rfam family "Bacterial small subunit ribosomal RNA", at positions 523 to 796 of the family's 1533-position model. The record is from RNAcentral.
AGACGGAGGGGGCUAGCGUUGUUCGGAAUUACUGGGCGUAAAGCGCGCGUAGGCGGUAGUCUAAGUUGGGCGUGAAAGCCCGGGGCUUAACCCCGGAACUGCGUUCAAAACUGGACAACUAGAGUCCGGGAGAGGGUAGUGGAAUUCCCAGUGUAGAGGUGAAAUUCGUAGAUAUUGGGAAGAACACCAGUGGCGAAGGCGGCUGCCUGGCCCGGUACUGACGCUGAGGUGCGAAAGCGUGGGGAGCAAACAGGAUUAGAUACCCCGGUAGUCC